UGUGUGUGUGUGUGUGUUAAACUAAGGGGCCUUAAUUACUAAGAAAAACGACGACAUGUACAGUUACUCUGAAUUCAGAGAUACAAAUUUCAAGUAUCCAAAUGUAUACACACACACACACACACACACAGCUGAAGGGAAGAGGUGUUCUUGGCUCUGCAAAGGAGCCGGUGAAUUUCUGGAGUGAAGUCGCAGGCUUCUACUGAAGUCCGCUCUCCGAGGUGGCACAGAAAAGAUCCUUCAGAAAUGGAGAAGAAAAAAAGAGAUCCUGAGAUCAUGUCGACCUUGAAUGAGAGAGAUUAAAAGAAGGUGACAUCAUUGGUUGCCAGUUUUCCAGGAACUGUUGCCAAGCAAUUGUCAUAAUUGUGACAAAGCAAUUAGGGGUGUGAAUGAGUUUGGUUGGUUAGAGAAUGGAGCAACAACUCUGUUUCAAAGAAUUAGAAGGCGCAUCCUUCUGUCUGCAAUGCAUGACCAGGCGGGUUGGCGGUCCCACCUUGGCAUCCACGGGACAGUUGCUAAUGGAAGAGGCAGACGGGACCUCUUAAAAAAAACUGGACCGCACUUUGCUGGAGGACGUUUCCAAAUUCACUCCAAAUAAUUGCCUUUUCCUGCUCCCUUCUCCGUAAGAGCAAGCUCCACGGCUUCCUGAUUUUGGCUCCUUUUCUUGUUUUUCCCAAUUCUCAGCAGGUUAAAAAGGCAAAGUAAAUAGUGCCAAGAAUACAAUAAAGUCAAACAGAUGCU
Pantherophis guttatus is the source of this 741-nucleotide long non-coding RNA. RefSeq lists it as uncharacterized. The record is from RefSeq and is a predicted model, not a curated record. NCBI's taxonomy places the organism in Eukaryota, Metazoa, Chordata, Lepidosauria, Squamata, Colubridae.